UGGUCAGAGCGCCUAGAAAGGGACCGGGCCGGCCGCCAUAUUGGAGCCCUGGAGCUGCGGCGGGCCAAGGCUUCGUGGGGCUCGUGGAGCUGAGAGGUGGCAUGGUGUCUGACCCCUGCCCCAACCACUGAAUUUUCGUUACGUCCUGGAUUGCAAAGGACCUCAGAGCAAUCUUUGGUAGAUAACAUGAUCACGAAGGAUUAUAGCUUUGCCCUGAUAAUGACAAAGGAAGUAUCUACCAGAAGAAGUUAGCACUUAAUCUUUCUUACCCCACCAGCGAAUGUAAACGACAUUGAAAAGGGACUACAAGUAAGCAAUCUUACUCGGACUGAUGCUGAAUGAACUAAUGCUUGUAUUCAAAGUUGAUAACCAUGGAAAACUUUUUUGUUACCUCUAUAUUAAUUGUGCAAAAUAAUGUGUUUCGUUGUGACAUCUUCAUGCAAGUAAUGUUAGUUAACACGUUCAUCAACCCCUUCCCUUACCCACCAAUGAAAAUGCAUUCAGAUUACUUAAAGGACUUUGGAGCCUAUUUGCUCUGCAUCUCAAAUUACACCUUUUCCCCAGUAACUAAAACAGUACUGUGUGUUUGUUUUUCAGGUUCUGAGGUUCACUAGAGAAAGAUACUAGAAGACCUGCUGAGGGUCUCUGAGAAGUUAAAAAUGCUGAUAUGCAUAAUUUGUGUAUUUUAUUUUUCCCUCCUGAGCUUUUCGAAGGAGAUGCAUAGCUUGGUGGUGAGGAUUCACACAGCACGGUCAAGACCCUGGAUUGGAUCCCUGGCACUGGUUUGUUUGUAUCAGUGAAAAUACACACUGUGCCUUUGUUAGAAGUUAAUAAAAUUCAGCUGACAUGUAGAUCUUCCUUUCAAAAAGCUAGGCAGGCUGCUUUUAAAAUUGCCAAAACACAAUAGGAACCCUCAAAGAUAUAUGGAGAUGAUGGUAGUUAAUAGGCAGUUUUCAAAGACUUGGCUUAUGUUGUGAGAAGCAGCCCCAGAAGUGGCAAAAGCCAUUCUUGUGACUUCAGCAACCUAAAAACCUCAGAAAUAUGACGAUUCUUCUACCUGUAAUGAUGGUAAGUACCAAAAAGGAAACAGUAUUUACCGUUUCUCUUCUGCCCUUUGAUUGAAAUGUAGAAAUGGUUCAGACUAAUGAGUCUUUGUUUUAAUAAGAUAUUUAUAUGAGUAAUAACCUUAGCUUGAGUUAUGUGGAAGACUGAUGUAUUGAAAGAAAAUAACAGGUUGGAUGAAAAUAGUGUGAAAAAUGGGGCCGAUAUAAUGUGAUGGGUUCUAUAAAUUUGUCAUGUAUUUGAAGUAUUCUAGCCUUCUAUAUAAUGGAUAGUCAACCAAAAUGUGUGGAAAAAAUAUCAGUGUCUUUUAUAAACACUACAAAUUAAGUCUUAACUUUCAUAGGAAAAAAAUUCCAUAUUCUUUAGAAACUUAUGGGAAAACAUUUUACCAGGAAAAAAAAUGUAUCUUUCAGACCUCUUUGAUUAUGGUAAAUGCCACUCCCCAUUUCCUUACAUUGAUACAGAUAGGCACAUCAUUUAGCAAGUACGGUUUGGGGGUUUUUUAUCUUUUUCCCUUGGAGUAAAUCUUCAUUUUACCUAAUAAGAGAACUAAAAUUUUUCAUAUUUUAGAUAUUCUUUCACAUAGAUUUUUGCUGCUGGAUUUCCUACAUGGUUUAAGUAAGGUAAAUGGAACAAAUGUCUCUCAAAAUUUGAAAUCUAAAUGACAUCAGAUUUAAAUUAAUGACUACCUAGAAAAGCAAGCUUUCCUUAUCUUAAGAUCACAUUUCUCAGAUUUUAACAGGCUUGGAUAAUUAAAGGGGCACUAGAAAACAUGUCUUUGCAAGAAUAUAUGCUGAUAAACUAUAUGUGUUAAUAAAUAUAACCAUUUCCAGAAAUUCAGAUAUGCAGAAAUGCUCAUCUGCAACCAGUUUGGUAAGUGGGUAUACAUUCAUAGGUCUUUGAGAAUUUUUGAUGAUGCUGUCUGCAAGAAUUUGCUAUAAACUGGAAUCUUCUGAUUUGUAUUUUUUUAUACACAGCUUUAUUGAAAUGAAAUUCACUUAUACACUUCACCUAUAUAAAGAGUGCAAUCCAAUGGGUUUUAGUUUGCUCAGAGUUUGAGCUAUCAACACAGUUAUACAAAAAAAAAAAAAAACUAUGCAAAACCGUUCUUGUAAGUAUAAGAAAAUAAUUUAGAAUGAUGUUCUUCUAAAGUGGUACUAUAUAAAGCUUACUGUGGGUAAUGUCUUAGAGUCCUUCAAUUAUAGUUGCAAUACUGCAAGUAAAUAGUAUGUUCCUUGUAUGUAAUAAGUGACCUUUACUAGCAACAGAUUAUUGUGUAGCAUAGAUUACUGGCAGUUACAUGAUAUAACACUGUCACAGUUGAGAAUUCUUUAAGGGUGACGCAUACUUAAAUUGAUUGCUUUCUUUUUCUGUGUGAUUAUCAUGCUGGGCAUUAGGUAUGCCUUAAUUGAAUUUUAGUCCCUGAGUCUGUUCCAUGUCCAGUGUUUAUGUUUGUGUCUUUCUAAAACUUGACUUUAUCUUUGCUUUAGAGAUGACUCCUGAGCAUUUUUUUCCAAGCUAGCAUUGUUUCCCCAUGAAGACUAAAUUUUGUUAUGUUUCAUGUAAACUCUGAGUUAACAAUAUAGUGAAGAGUCACCAGAUUUCAGGGUUUAAGGAAUGAAUGAAUGGAAUAGAGCAAAGCAGGUAUCAAAUGAAGAUAAGCGGUUUGAAUCUCUAAAAGAUAAAUCUUGGUAGGGGCAGGUAGAAUUAAAAGGUUUAUUUUAAGUGUUAGAAGCAACAACCUACUUAUUUAAAUAUUUACUUUUAAAUAUUUAUAUACUUGAGUAUUUUGCCAUCAGAAGAGAGUGUCAGAUUGCCGUGGAACUAGAGUUAUAGGUGGUUUUGAGCCACCAUGUGGGUGUUGGUAACUGAACUUGAUCUUUUGAAAAGCAACAAGUGAACCAACUCUGUCCUCUCACAAGAGGAUAUAUCCUCAGACUUUAGUUUCUUUUUUGGUUCUUUUUUUUUCGGAGCUGGGGACCGAACCCAGGGCCUUGCGCUUCCUAGGUAAGCGCUCUACCACUGAGCUAAAUCCCCAGCCCCCAGACUUUAGUUUCUUAAUCCCCUCUUAGAAAGUAAAGUCUAGUCCUAAGUCGUGUACAGUGAUCACGCCCUAAAGCAAUCUGAGGACAUUUAAACUUACUGGGGAAACCCAGCCAAAAAGGCAAAGAAAAGGAUCUCUGAAAUACUUUUGCAGUAAUUUUCUUGCAUAAUACUCAGUGGUUUGGGUUUCUUUCUAAAACCCAGCACUGGAGGUAGAAAGAGGGAAAACUGUGACUUGGAGCCCAGCCUAGACUGUGUGGGGAAUUCCUGUCAAACCAGGAAAUUUUUUCAUUGAAUUCUUUUUCUUUUCAUAAUUGCCAUUUUCAAGUCUUCGCUGCCCAUAUAACCAAACUUGUGUUUUGUGCAUUUUAUAUGACACUACUCAAAAAAAAAAAAAUGUUGUAAGCAGUGACCAUGAACCUUACCUACUGAGUAAUGUCAUCCUAAAGUAUGGUAUUUACACUUCAUUAAUGCACAUCAAACCCAAAUGGGAUCUUUAAAACCAUUAUUGGAGAGAGUAUUAAAUGUUCAGUGAAUGUGACUGGUCUCUGUUACUGACAAUCUGUGAUUGUGUAGAUAUGAAAGAUGCAAAAGGAGAGAAGCAACUGAAGGCGAUGUUAGCCCUCUGUACAUGUCAUCAAUCCAAUUCUAACAGUUAAAAAUUACAACUUUACAUUGCCUGGAGUUAUCUCAUUACUUACCUGUUUUCUCUAGAGAGAUAACUAGAAAGAUAAGUGGGGGGGGGGGGGGAAUAACAGCAAAGACAGUAAGAGUACCAUAGAAUGAAAAACUAGAAAUCAAGGUUCACUUGCCCCGAACAUACACACAUACCUUCCCCACCACCACCACCUUUUUUUUCCAGAGACAGAUUUUCUUUAUAGCUCUGGCUAUCCUGGGGCUAUCUGUGAAAACCAAGCUGGCCUGAAACUGACAGAGAUACACCUCGCCACCCUUUCUUUUCUACUAAGCUAAUUAGGUAACUAAUAACUGUGAGGUGUUCCAGAAUAAGUUUCAAGUUAAGUAGAAAUAAGUUGGUGUUUCUUUGAGACAGGGUUUUUCUACAUAGCCUUACCUGGCUGCUCUAGAACUCACUGUGUAGACCAGGCUGGCUUUGAACCCACAGAGAUCCUACUGCCUCUGCCUCCCUAGGGCCAGGGUUACAGGCAUGUACCACCAUGCUGACAAAAAAAUGAGUUUCUUAUAGCCUGUCAUGGCUGAGGUAAGUAAAUUUUUAGAGGAUAGAUACUUCAGUACUGUGACAGAAGUGGCUUAAAAAGUAUUUGACAUGGGAAGUAAUUCUAUCAUGCAUGAUAGAAUAUGUAUGUCCCAUCCAUUUGGGAGAUGUGAUACGCAGAUCCCUAAAGUCAGAUGGGUCAGAUGGCCGGCUUAAGGAAUAACAAGUGUAUGGGAACUCCAAAAUCCAAAGUGCAAAUAAGACUGUUUGAUUGAUGUAAAACUAAAGUAUUUGUCAAGCCAUUUCAGCUACUAUACAUCAUGGUAGGUAAGUAGAUACCUAUGGUCACAAUAGAUCAGCAGAAAGUUGGUUUUGUCAUCUAGUGUAGGCUUUAGCAAUAGAAGGAUGAGUCUCACUUUCAUAUGAUGUUGGCAUAUUAAUUCUGGGCUUUUACUGGUAUAAAAAUUAUUUGCCUACUUCAUUGAAUUGUCCAAAGAAUUAAGGAAGUAUAUGAAGAAAAGUACUUAAUAUUCCCAACGGCAGUAUUGUGUAUGAUCUUAGGACAGAAUCUGAGGGAAAAACAACUUUAUGCACUAAGAUCCACUAAACUAAAAGUUACCACUUUUAAGCAUUAAAAGUUGACUUUCUGUAUUAUAAAUCCAUGUUCUUUCAGUUUUAACUGUCAUCAAUACUAUAUUUAGUAAUACCCUAUAUAAUAUAUAAAAUCUCUGCAUAUACAAUUUACAGUUAACCAGAAAACUUCCCAUUAAAGAUGGAAAUAAUGAGAGCAUCUGAGUAAUAACUACCCAUUUGGGAGAUGUGAUAUGCAGAUCCCUAAAGUCAGACGGGUUGGAUGGCCUGCUUAAAGACUGACAGGUAUAUGGGAACUCCACAAUCCAAAGUGCAAAGAAGACUGUUAGUGUCUAGACCCUCCAUUCCUGCACUGACUAUGAUGUCAGUUUAGAGGAGUGAGGUCUGAAUCAGUCCUGAAUUUUAAAAUGAUCUUAGCACAUUACUAAGUUCGGAGACAGGCAGACAGAUCUCUUGAAUUCAAGGCCAACAGGAACUACAUAAUGAGAUCCUGUCGUACAAAAUAACCGAAAACACCAACAUGAAUAAUUUACCACCAAAGUCAGAUUUCUCCAUAUAGAUGGUCCUAAUUCACUUGAGUCCCCUGCCCCUACUAGACACCUAUAUUGACCCUAUGGCUUUGUGUUUACAAAUGCUUGUUUUGCCACUGAGUGAUAUGUCCAGUCCUAACUUUUUUUUUUCCUUUUUUCUUUUUUUCGGAGCUGGGGACCGAACCCAGGGCCUUGCGCUCGCUAGGCAAGCGCUCUACCACUGAGAUAAAUCCCGAACCCCCAGUCCUAACUCUUAAUUGUAAGCCUAGUUCCCAGUGUGUCUCAUCCUUGUUACAAUUCCAAGACAGAUACUAGAGCAUUAGAUACUCAGUGAAGCAUAUUGUCCAACCAUGUAAGUAAGUGUUGUUUAGAUUCAGUGGGUAAAUAAUAUAAUUACUUUAGGGAAAUUGUAAAUUGGGGAUUAUUAAUGUGUUAUUAAAACAAAGGUAUUGAAUAAGAAACUGCUCUAUAAUAUACUUAAUAGUGUCAAUAUUUGAACCACAGUUUGAACCAAUUGUAAAUUUUUUAUUCAAUAACAAUUGUGUACUGAGCUUAAGGGCCUGGAGAUACAAUGAUACCUGUGCCCCUCCAAGUCAUGACAUACCCUGUUUCAGUAUCAUGGAUCCCCCCUCCCCUUUCUUUAAGUGUAUAAAGUACAGUGGGUUAAUUAAGGAAGAGAGUAAUAGGGGUUGGGGAUUUAGCUCAGCGGUAGAGCGCUUGCCUAGUGAGCGCAAGGCCCUGGGUUUGGUCCCCAGCUCCGGAAAAAAAAGAAAAAAAAAAAGGAAGAGAGUAAUAAAUCUUAAAUUUUUAAUUGUUACAGAGAACUACAUUUUUUUUUAAACUCUAGGUUAUCAAGUAGUGUCCAGCAGACAUAUUUCAAAGUGCCUGCAGGAAUGUUAUAAGAAAAUGUACUUCAAGACAUUUACUGCUAAUACUGUAAUUUGUUUACAUUAAGCAUUUUUCUUUAUUUUUAAAAAAAUUUAUUUAUUUUAUGUUUGUGAGUACACUGUUGCUGUGGACAGACACAUCAGAAGGCACUGGAUCCUAUUACAGAUGGCUGUGAACCCACAGAUGUUUGCUAGGAAUUGAACUCUUAACCGUAACCGCUAAGCUAUCUCUCCAGCCCAGAUUUUUUUCUUUAUUAUAAAAAGUACAAAUAGAAAAACACAAAGCACACACUGAAAUUUACCAAAUUGUAAUAUUUUUCUUUGAGAUUUUUUUAAUUCAUUUUGAUCAUCCUUUCCUCUUCCCAGAUUACAUUCAGAUUUUAAUAAAAGUCACUAAAAGUAAAGAAUUAACUUAUACCUAGUUUUGGGGUGCUGUCUAUAAGCCUGGAAUACCUUAUGUUCAUUGAUAAUUCUAUGCUUAAAAACUUAAUUCUAAGCUGGGUGGUGGUGAUCCGUGCCUUUAAUCCCAGCACUUGUUAGGGUUUAGUGUCAGGCAGGUGGAUCUCUGAGUUCCAGGCUAUCCUGAUCUACUGACUAAGUUCUAGGACAGCCAGGACUACACAGAGAAAGUCUGUUGGGAGCAGGGGGGACCUUAAUUCUAUUAACUAUUCUCAUUACUGUACCUAAGGCCAAUUAAGGCAAAUUUAGUGGUACCUAGCACAGAGGAGGCUAGGGGAGUAGGAUAGAUACCAGCCUGUACAAUAUAAACCUUAUCUCAACAUUGAAAACAUGGACCUCGUCCCGUUUAAUUCAAAAUACAUAUGAAAUAAAUUUAAGGGGCUGGAGAGGUGGCUCACUAUGGGCUAUCAGUCCUUUUUCAGGCGAUCUAAUUCUUUUGGCCUCUGGGUAUCAAGCACACAAUGCACAGACAUAAGUGCACGUUGUAAAAAAAUUAUUGAGCUGGAUGGUGGUGCACACACCUUUAGAUGGAUCUGAGUUUGAGACCAACCUGGUCUACAGAGCAAGUUCCAUGAAAGCUAAGACUAUACAGCAAAACCCUGUCUCAAACAAAAUCUUUUUUAAAAAAAGAGGUGGGGGUUGGGGAUUUAGUUCAGUGGUAGAGCGCUUGCCUAGCAAGCGCAAGGCCCUGAUUCGGUCCCCAGCUCCGGGAAAAAAAAAAAAAAAGAAUACAUGAAUUUAAGAAAUCUUUCUUCGGGGCUGGGGAUUUAGCUCAGUGGUAGAGCGCUUACCUAGGAAGCGCAAGGCCCUGGGUUCGGUCCCCAGCUCCAAAAAAAAAAAAAAAAAGAAAUCUUUCUUCAAUGGUGAAACAUCCAUUUUAGAAUCAUCCAUUUGUUUCUCACAGCUCCAGUACAGGUGUACUGAAAAUGUGGGCCUGGCUAUGUCUAGUACAUCUGGUAUAUGUUUAGUGAGGGCUUAGUAACACAAGUACAGUGUUGGAGAAUAGUAAAUUCAAGGAGCUUCAUGGAAGCAAUACCUGGGAUUACGCUGCUCAAUAAGUAGACACUGAAGAGGUGGUUUCUAAUAUAAGAAUAUCAGCAUUAUACGGUUAUAAUCUCAACAGAGAACAAAUAGUGACAGUUCAUGUUUAGCUAUCAUUUUCAUUGCUUGCUAUAGGAGGUACCAGUUUUGAAAUUUUAGCACAAGUCCAGGUAACUUAGCAGGUAAACCUGACUUGUUUCAACCCCCAGAACCCACCUUACAAGGAAAACCUCUGUAAAGUUGUUCUCUGACCUUAUGUCUGCCAGCCUAAACUCACAUAUACAUUAUACACUAACACAAUGUAAACCUUAAGAACAAGGGCGCCUGACAGUGUCCUUUAACAAGGAAAGGAGCUGAAAAUAUAACAGGUUUGUUUAACCUUAAAUCCACUGCACAGGAACCGCUACUUGGAUCAAGAAAAAGCAAAAAGAAAAAUUACAUUUUUGAGUAUGUUUUCUGCACAUAUCCCAAAGAAGUGCAGCAACCAUUGUCAUACAGACCUGGUGACAAAAGUUCUGUUUAAAGCACACCAUCUGUGCAUGAUUUCAUUAAACAUACCAGGACUUGGGAAGUUUGAGUUAAGAACUGGCUUGGGCAUUCCAAGAUCAUAUCUCAGAAAACAUCCUGGAUGCUGGGAUUAAAGUGUAACCGUUGAUGAACUCCACUCUCCGCGAAAAAUAAUACCAAGAUUUUUGGAGUUCAUAGCUCACAAUUCAACAGUUCUUAAUCCUUAUACACAUACAGAGAGAUUUUCACAUACUUGUCCAGAAUGAAAAGCAAUGUAGACAAAAAAUUCUCUUUGAACAAACACAAUAGUAUAAGUGAAGAAUGAUUCCCAAGGCCCUCUGCUCCGCAUAGGAACCUUAGAUCAGAAUCUGACCCUAUCAGUACUGAUACUACUUAACUGUGAGUGGUCCUUAGUAACAGGUACUGAGCUCAGUGAUUCCUAAUGUCAACCUAGCGGGACCUGGACUUGUUACAAUACACACAUAGACCACUGCUAAGUUCCAGGAGCUAAAUACUGCCUCGUUGAUCCUAAGCAUAUAGGAUAAAGGGCUUUCCCUUCCAGAACAGUUAAUAUGCCUGGGCCAUGUGUUACUGAAGUACAGCAGAUCUAUCACAGUUUUAAAAACAAUGCUGUCUUUUUCUUUUCCUUUGGAGCUGGGGACCGAACCCAGGGCCUUGCACUUGCUAGGCAAGCGCUCUACCACUGAGCUAAAUCCCCAACCCUAAUACUGUCUUUUUAAGACAGGGUUUUACCUUAUAGACUAGGUUGGCCCCAAAUUUGGCAAUCCAUCUGCUUUUGCCUCCUGAGUGCUAGUAUUAUUUAAGGGGUUACUUUCUGUGGGUUGUAGGUAUAGGUGAGUGCUGAUGUCAGAGGAGGCCAGAGGUGCCAGAUCUCCCUGUACCUAGUUAACUAAGUAACUAUGAGGUACCCAACUUAGUUGUUGGGACCCAAACUUCAGCCGGAUGAUAGAACAACAUUCACAGUUAACCAGUAGGCAUCACCAAUUCCUUGAGAGCUACAUCCACUCCGUCUUCCUGGUCCUAUUUUCCCGCACUCACCACCACCAGGUCUUGAGAUGGAUUGGAUUAGCCUGUAAUUUAGAACUCUGGUUGCCUUCCAAAAGCUGCGAUUGCUGGCUUCUCUAACCAGCUUCUGGCUUCUGUUUUUGUUUAAAAAAAUAAAUAACUGGGUGUGGUGGUACGUGCUUUUAAGUCCUGGCACUGGGGACAUGAAGGUAGGAGGAUAUUCAAGGUCAGCUUGGUGUAGAGUUUCCAGGACAGCCUGGCCUAUAUAAACUCAACCAGUUGUGUUUUUAAGACGGGAUUUCUGUAACCCCAUAGUAUAAUCAUGCCAUGUUUGUAUAUACAAGGCACUAAUUUUGGUCUGUCAAAGAAUCUGCUCUGUAGCCAGGCUGACCUCAUGUUCUGGCCUGCCUCUGCCCACUGAGCGCUCACAGCCACCUCCCUCAGCCAAUUUUUUAAGAUAAUUAGGAAUGAAUGUACCCUUUUAUCACUUGACUAGAAAAUGGUAGUCAACCAAUAGAGGUAGGAAAAUCUUCAAGAUUUAUAAUGCCCUCUCUCCAAAAGCUAAGUACAAAAUCAUCUACUUUCUAACUCCUCUUUCCUGCAGCAAAAGACUUGUUCACACACCAGCAAGCUACAGCUAGCAGCCAGACGGUGUUACAUGAAUUGGGCCUUUUCUUCUGCUUCGCAUGUACACAGUAGUUGUAGCAUAGUUGGUAAAUGAAUAUCUUGUUAAAUAUACAACUGGUGGAUUGCUUAGUCCUUCAAAAUUUGACCUAGCAUUGGAUGUAAUAGACUAGUUUACAACAGGGACACAUAGAACGGCCCAUGUAUUUAGAAGUAAAAUCUCUUAGGGAUGGGAAAGAUGGCAGAUCACUUAAGAGACCUUGCUCUUAUAGAAGUCCCAGUACCUAAAUUUGAUGUCUCACAAAUUUUGCAAAAGUUGCAGGAGAUCUGACACCCUCUUGCCUCCAUGUGCAUCUGCAUGAAUGUGCUGCACGUAUGCUCAAUAUAUGUUAAGGUUUGUGUCAUAAUUCAUUGAGUGCCAUGACCUAAAAACAUAGUUAAGUGUAUCUUGUAAAGAUGUGCCUACAAAAUAUCUCCAAAGUGAAUGGAUGAAAGACAGACCUGCCCUCAGUUUAAUAUAUUUUUAGACUCAAUCUAAAGUGCCUAGGUUGUGUGUGUGUGCCAACAAAAGACGUAGAUUCUCUGGGUGGCUGUGAGUUCCAAGGUAAGUGCUGGAAUGGGCUCUUAACCUCCUAAUACACAAUUUCAAAUUUUAAUGAGAUCUGGGAGAGUAGUAUAAUCAUGCCAUGUUUGUAUAUACAAGGCACUAAUUUUAGUCUUCAGAUGGCUACAUAUAUUGACUGGCUUUUAACUUACAAAGAUCUACUUGCUUAAUUAUAGCUGUAGCAAUUCAUGAAAGGAUAUUAAGGGAUCUGCAUUUACACAUUUUAACAUUAAAACAACAUGUAAGUAAUGGGCUCUGUGAUCAAAUUCUACAUAAUUAAAAGCUCUGCCCUCUUAUUUGUUGACAUAUUUGUGAAAUAAACUACUGAGUCAGGGCUGCAGCUCAGUUGAUAGUGUUUGCAUGAAGCCCUGUAUUUGCCUGCAGCACUCAAGAAAUAAGACAGGAAGAUCAGAAGUUCAAGUAUUCCUCGCCUACAUAGUGAGCUCAGAGUAAGCUACAGCUUAGGCUAUAGGAAACUUUUUUUAAAAGACAAAAAAAAAUACUAAUAAGUUGUACAGUUCUUUUAAAAAUUAGACCAUUUCACAUUCCCUUCUAUACUCAAGAUGUUUGUUUCUUCAGGAAAUAUUCAUCGGAUAUCCACUAGGUGUCAGAUAAUUCAAAGGUAGAUAUUCUUGAGACACCAAGAUAAACAGUUUCCAUGAGAGCCUAGCAAUCUUACAAAGAGUUUAACAGAAAUAGAUCUGCAAACCAAAAGUUGUAUAAGUACUAUCCUGUCAUUCUAAUGGAAGUAUUAAUUUUAUACUAUGAUAAUUCAAUAUCAAUCCAAAUACAUGCUGGCCUAAGCUAUGUAUAAAUGGUAAAUAUUAGAUAAGUCAAGUGGCAAGACAGUGCUAUGAAUAGGAGGCUGGAGAUAAUAAGCUCAAGGUAAGCUUCCAUGGAGGAUUCUGGGAGUAAAUAUCAAUUGAAGCCCAUCACUUUUUCCUUACUCAGUCUGGUUUUCAUUUUGCCUCCUUGGGCACUUGUACCCUAUCUUAAAUUUUUAGCAUUGAUCUUCAUUCUCAUCUAUCCUAGGCCUUCCUACUAAUUUGUCCAUUUCCAUUCCCUUGUUGGUGCCAGCUUUAACCUUGGGUGGAAUAGAUAGAUAUCCUGCUUCCAGAGAAGUAAAAUGAAUUUCUAAAGACAUCUUCCCAGUAAGCGCUCCCAUCAGGGAUGAAAUCUCUACCACUGCAAAGUUACACAGCAAUGCCACGCUGGCUAUCCUGAGCAAAUGGAGGACAGUCUAUAGAGCUCCUUUUUCUGUUUCUUUUAAAAUCUUAUUUUUUUUAAAUUGACAUUCAGUUUCACCCUCUUGCUACAUGGUCCUAUAAAUUUUCAUAAAAACAAGUCAUAAAAGUGCCACCACACUCAAGGUCCAGAGCAGCUUCAUCACACAGAAGUCUCAUGUCACCCCAAAACUUUUGUGGUUUAAAGUCAUUUUCCAGAAAGCCAUAUUUGAAUGAUCCUUUAUUUGUAUUUUUUAACAUAACAUUCAAUUAUACCAGUUUCCUAUCAACUAUUAGACAUUGGAUCAAUGAUCAUAUUUGCCAAUUGUCCAUUCCCACUAAUAGUUCCCAUGGCUUCCACUGCACCUUUUUGGUUUUUUGGUUUUCUUGAUUGGUGGUUUGGUUUGGUUUGGUUUGUGGUGUGUGUGUGUGUGUGUUGGAUUUGGUUUUUGCCAGACUUUGUUCAUUUUCAGCCUGAAGCAUCACCAUUUGUGUUUGACCAUCCUGAAACAUGUCUUAACUUUUUAACAUCAGGUUCUCAUUGCUAUUCUGUUCUCUGUGUAUUUUCCAUAAGGUGUAUUUUAAGGAAACUGCUUAAGGGUUGGUGAUUUAGCUCAGUGGUAGAGCAAGCACAAGGCCCUGGGUUCGGUUCCCAGCUCCGGGGGGUGGGGGGGGCUGCUUAAGAACAUCAAGCAUCUUUCUGUACAGUAUUAUGUGGCACAUCCCCAUACCCAAUCCCAUCAGGUCAGUAAUCUUUAGCAAAUUCACCAUGACAGUACCUCCAGACCACAGUACUUCAGCCCUCUGUCCCUAGUAAUCUAGAUAACACUAUGUAGACCAGAUUGACCUCAAACUCAGUGAUUGACCUGCCUCCUGACUGGAUUAAAGGCAUGUGUCACCAUGCCCAACAUUCCUCAUGUCUUUUGGAGUUAAGACAAUGACUUCUGUAGCAUACAGAUAAGGAAAGAGAACAGCAUAUUUUUGCUACCCAUUGUUAACUCCUAAUUUAAGCUUCUGGGUGUAAGGGGGAAGUAAGAUCUGUGAAAGGCAAAGGAUAUAUUUAUUGGGUUAUAAUUUAACCAUUAGAUACAGAAUGGAAAUCAGAAUUUGGAAAGAAAAUAGUGUCUGGCCAUGGCAUAGCUCGCUCUCUCUCUCUCUCUCUCUCUCUCUCUCUCUCUCUCUCUCUCUCUGUGUGUGUGUGUGUGUGUGUGUGUGUGUGUGAUGUUUUGAGUAAAACCAGAUUCUCAGAGGAAUGAAAGAGAUAAGUCCUGAAGAAGAGUAGCCUCUAAAUCUUUACACAGCCAUAUUCUUAACUGCCGGUAACUUCUUUUUUUGUGUUGGUUAAUUUUCCUGCCUCUUUUAAAAUGUCUUGAAAAGGUCCAAUUUGGUUUGCUUUUGAUGCAAGGUCUCACUUAUAUUGGUUUCAAACUCAUGAUUCUUCUGUCUCUGUUCCCAAAUGUGCUGUUGUAGGUAUGUGCCGCCAAGACUGGCUUGUCUUCUAAAUUUAACUAGAGAUAAAAAUCAAUGAAAUUCUAACAUAAUCUCUUUAAAUUACAUGUGAUUGGAUCUAAAUAACAGAUCUAACUUGAAGUUAGUAGAGGCAGCUCAACUGACUCUCAGUCACGUUUCCAUAAUCUGAGUUCUGUUGGAUCUACAGCUACUGACAUUCUUUUUAUAUUCUUAUGUCUAAAGGUUCUGUUUUUCUGAUUUUUUUUUUUUUAUUCAGACAGGUUUCUUUGUGUAGCUUUGGCUGUCCUGGAACUAGCUCGGUAGACCAGGCUGGCCUUGAAUUUAGAGAGAUCUCUCCUCCUCCCUCUCAAGUGCUAGAAUUAAACAUUCGUACCACUACUACCUGACAAAUUUAGUACCUUUUAUGUGCCAAAUGUUGGGCCUUUAGCCCACAUUAUUUAAGGAUUUUUAUAGUUUGCCAUGGGUGUACAAACAUGGAGAAAUGAUACCAUGCAUUCUUUCCUAUCCGGGAUAACAUAUUCUCACAGCAAAGGCUCAUUUAUGACUUGUUAUGGGAGGAUGCAUGUGACAUGAUAAAUGAAAGUAACAUUUGAAGCUUACCAUGUGUUAGAUACUUUAUACAUGGAAUACUUUUGUGUUGUUACUGUUUUAAGAUAGGCAGCUCUCUCAAACCCAAGUUGGCCUUAAGUUUAAGGAAUCCACCUGCCUUUGCCUCAGUGAGUGCUGGGAUUAAAGACUGUUUUGCCCCAGGGUACAUGGUACAUACCUUCACUCAUUGAGAUAAACAGAUUUCACAAAAGAACCCUGCAUUAUAUUAGAAACAACAUAACUUUAAAAAACAAACAUACUAUAAAUCUCUUAAAUGUCUUGUCCUGUACUAGAGGUGGAAACAAGGCGAGGUAGAUACUCUCUCCACUUUUUAUCUUUAGACAGUUCUUCACUCAGUUGGUCAUAGGUCAGAAAUUUCCUCAGACAGAUCUUGAACUUGUAGCCCUACUGCUUAAGACUCUUGAGAGGCUAAGAUUACUGGCCUGUGCCACCAGACCCAGCUCAGUCACUAGACCAGUUCAGAAUAUUUAUUUCUACUGACCUCCACUUUAAGGACAAAGACAGUGUGGUGCCACUACAUAGUGUUGAAAAAGUCAGGAUUUUCUAGGGUUCUAGAUAUUUUUUAAAGAAAUUUAUGCGUACAAACUAAUGGAUUUCACUAUCAGCAUUUCUGCACGUGUGUGUGUGUGUGUGUGUGUGUGUGUGUGUGUGUGUGUGUGUGUGUGUGUGUGAUUAUCCCUCAUUCUAUUUUAUCCCUCUAUCUUGCCCACCUCCAUUCUCCCUAUUCCCCCUCAGGCUGAUACUCCUAAAAUAGUUCCCCCUUCUGUUUUCAUAUUUCAUGUAUUUUAUAUCAUGUCAAAUAUUCUAUUCUUCCACUUAAGAUCCACCCUCAUGAUCUCCUAAACAUCUCUGUUUUGUUGGAGACAAGAUAUCAUGUACCUUUGAAGUAUACAGUUUUACAGAUAAAGAAAUGAAGACUGCCCACACAUAGACAGCAUAUUUUGGGCUUUGUAAUAAGUGAUCACUCUUGUUUUCUACCUUCUGAAAUCCAGUUGGAAUCCUUUAGAUCUGCCCCUCUGACAUUUUAUUUGGAUGAACAAUGGUGACAAAAAAACAAUUAUCUUGCUUUAUAGUGGAUAAAAAUGGCAGGUAAAGCAAAUACUCUACUUUGAAUAUGGCAUGCCCCAUUAAGUUGUGAGGAUUAAUCUGAUUAAAAGAAAACAGUGAGUGGUACUACGAGGUGCAUGCUUUCUCAUGACCCGUUUGGCCGUCCUGUAGUAACAUUUUUGGAGAUUCUGGAACUUUUGGUUUCUUUGAAAAAAAAAAAAGGAAAAACGUGCUUUUGUUUUAAUCCUAGGUUAGGGAUGUGGGGCUGCUUCAGACUGUUUGCAGCUACUGUCCAUGAUUUGCCUCAUGAUUUAGCACAAGCAGAUCUAGGUUUUGCCGGUUGCAGAUAAUUUCUGCAAUGGUGUGACAUUAGGAAUUCUGGGAACUUUAGAGAAGAUACAUAAAUGCAAGAGCCCCAAGAGACAGGGUUAGUGGUUGUUGGUCAUUUAGGGAGGUUGGUUUCAGUUGUUAGUAGCCUUGGUCAAAGAGGAAACAAAAGUUAAAUUCACGUCUCCUCCCACACACACCUCUCUUCAUCUUUCUUCCUCCUCCUCACCUUUCUCCUCUCUCCAUGUUUCUCUCCUAUCUACUGUUAAGGGGUGAAACUGAAGGGUAUAAAGGAUGGGGAAAAGAACCCACAAAAUAGCGAAGACCAGCUACAACCUCCCUCCCCUUGCCACGGAAUACUUACUGCAGUUUAACCAGAGCAGCUAUCUGCUUACUGAAGCUGGAGAAGCAUUUGCCUAUGAGAACAAGACUGUAGCUCAAGUACAUCUAUGGUGGAAGAAUCCAAUUUGUUUACUGUUCAUAAAGUAUGGAACAGGGAGUCUGCUGACCAAAGGGACUCAAGCUCUAAGCACUUGAUAUGUGCCAGGACCUUUUUAAUUUUCACACCACCUGUAUGUGGAGAAUGCUAGGAUCUCAUUCACACGCUCUGGGCUGCACAGCACAGCAAAACAAUGCUUACUGUGGCUAAAGUCACUGUCCCAAGGGCCUUUAAUGCAUUUCCUAUUUGUUUUUCUCACUUGAUCGUUCUAAACAGCUCAGUAAGAGGCUUAAUAUUGUCACCCCCAACUUGAUAAUAAGAAAACUAAAAUGUAAAGUUAUUCAAUUUGCACAACAAUAAUGCAAAGGUGGGACUUUGACCCCUGGCUGAUUUGACUCCAGAGUCUAUAAUCAACCUCAGUAUUAUCCUUGAAACAUUCAGAAUUGUCAUCAUCAUUUGUAAAGUAAGUGUGGCUGUCACUUCUGUUGUCUGGGAAGCACUCAGGGGAAUCAGUGUGCCCUUUGAGACUUGAUGCCUUCCAUCUCAGAAGAAUCCUUGUGGUAAGAUCAGAUUGGAAGGAUAUGGCAGGCUAAGGAAGGCAGAGGUGGUGUAGUCAGACCAGUUUAGGAACUGAUUACAUCUGAGCCUCUGGCCCUCUUGCCGGCCAGCUGACUCAGAGAAGGCAGAUGGGCCAGUGCCUGGGCAGGAUGAUUUCAAGGCUGUAUACUUCAAAGGAUCUCAUUCCUGGCACUGCUGUGCACAUUGCUUUCUAGAGGGCACAGCCUUUUGGGGGAGGUAAUGCUAGAGUCUCUAGGAGGUAUUUGUAAACGCCCUAGGCAGUGUUUGCUCUGAUUUCAAAUGUAUAAGGCUUAUUUGGGGCUGGCCAAUAAGAACCACAAGGCCAGCUCUAAGCGGGGAUGAAACUUGAUUAUUUAAACCCUUAAUCUGCAGGCAACAAGUUUGUGAGUUCCAGAGUCAGAAAGUCCUGGGUUCUAGUUGUUUUAGCAUUCGAUUGUACAUAAUUACUAGAACUCAGUUUUCUUAUGUGUGACAUUCAAAUUUUUAUUUUUUGAGGCAGAUCUUGCUAGAUAGCUGGCUGACAUGAAUAAACCGUAGAACAAACUGGCUUUAGAUUUGGAAUGAUCUUCCUAUGUUUGUGCUAAGAUUAUAGUAUACCCCACAUGUGCCUGGCUGAAAUUGACCUUUUAUCAGUCCCUCAUAUGGUUGUGAAUAUUAAAGAAAAAUGAGUAGAACUUGCUAAGUAGGGUAUCUGACACAGUAAACAGACUUUAUUCAAUGGAAAGUCAUAUUUGGCAAGAGAAUCUUACAGCUUUAAAAAGUAAAUCAUUCUUUUACUGAACAAACAUCCAAAGCGGGAUGUAGUGUUUUAGGUAAGAAAAAUUAUGAAAAUAACCUCUACUGAGCACCUAAAAAUGAACUAUGUACUUUAUUUCAGGGCCUGUCAUUUGGUUAGGAAGUGUUUUUCAGAUGGCAUAGUAGCCUAAGAGAGACUUAGUAACAUAGCUAAGGUCAGUCUGUACUACAGUCUAUGGAUUUUUCUUAAGAUAUAUAUUGUUGUCUUCAGACACACCAGAAGAGGGCAUCAGAUCUCAUUACAGAUGGUUGUGAGCCACCAUGUGGUUGUUGGGAAUUGAACUCAGGACCUCUGGAAGAGCAGUUAGUGCUCUUAACCACUGAGCCAUCUCUCCACUCCCAAAGUCUAUGAAUUAAGCAGGCUUAUCUCCAGCAGAGCUUGUUAUUUAGCAGGCAGGCAGACACAGUCAAGAAAUUGCUUUCAGGGGGUCGGGGAUUUAGCUCAGUGGUAGAGCGCUUGCCUAGCAAGCACAAGGCCCUGGGUUCGGUCCUCAGCUCUGGAAAAACAAACAAACAAAAAAAGAAAAUGCUUUCAGAUAUAUUGUUGCAGUUUUAUGCUGCACUUUUAGGUGCACAGGGCAGAAAACGUGAACCCUACAGGUAGAGUGAUGGGGAUCUCAGCCCAGGAAUCAGUGCUCACAGUAGACUUUGGGUGGGAAGUCCCAUUAUGUGGUUUAAAACUUUAAUCCCCAACUCCGGUUUAAAACUUUUUAAAGUUACAUUUGUUUUGGAUUGUUUUGUUCUUGUGCUGGUGGUGGUUUUAUGGCUUUUUGGUGGUGGUGGGGGGGGGGGGGUUCCACUGCACAUAUGUGGAGGUUAGAAGAAAAUGUGCAGGAAUCAGUUUUGUUCUUCCACUAUGCAGUUUGGCCCAGUAGUCAAACUCAGGUUGUUAGGGUUAGGGAGAAGUGCCUUUACCCCCCAGAACCAUCUCACUGGGUCUGCCCAACAGUAAAGGAAAAGAUCAGAGGGAGUUCUUUCUAGGACUUCUCACAGAACAGUUUGUAGAUCCAGCAUUAGUAUAAUUGCAGCAAAUUCUCUAAUUCCAGACCAAGAAAAUGUCUCCAAAGAGAUCAAAUUAUGUUGUUUAUUUGAGGUAAAAUAGUGGAAGUCAUGAGAUAUGUAUAUAUCUGCAUCAAAAUCACCUCUACUUCCUCGGGCUUAAGAACUAAACCUGAUAUUGAUAUAGAGUCUCACAAUUUUAAUUUUUUUGGUAGGGGAAGCUUCAAGAUAGGGUUUCGUUAUGUAUCCUUGGGGACUUUCCUGAAACUCACACUGUAGAUCAGGCUGGUCUCAUCGAAUUAGAGAUCAGCAUGGCUCUACUUCCCAAGGCCUGGGAUUAAAGGUUUGCACCACCACCACCACCACCAGGUUAGCAUGGGACUCUUACUGUUCGUGGUUACUAUUCCUGAAUAACACUGCAUUCAUAUACUAGACACUUAGCUGGUAAAAGGUAGACAGUAUUUAAAUCAAUAAUGUCAAAUUAAUUUUAACAUAUACCCACAAUAUGUGUAAGAUACAUCUCAUCUCAAAUUAUAGGUACUUUUGUAGGUAACAUGUUAUAAAAUGUAGGCAAAAACAUUUUAAAUAGGUAGAAUAAAGUUGGAAUAGGUGUGUGUACCAUGCACCCAACAAGAAGAGGCUCACUGUGAGUUCAAGGAUGCCUGGAAUUGAGUGAGGACUUCAGUGAGAUCGUCAAUUAGGUCUGUAACCCCAGCUAUUUGGGAGGCUGAGGCAGGAGGCUAAAAAAAGCUUCAGACCAGUGUGGCAACUUAGCAUGGCCAUCUCAAAAUAAAAAAGUUAGUUUGUGAAAGGACACUGGCAAUGUAGCUCAAGGCAGAGUGCGUGCCUAGCAUGCAUAAGGUUCUAAGUUCAACUGCCCAGCACUGCAAAAGAGCAGAAAAGCAAAGCUCCUACAGAGUAUGCCAACCUCAAUCCAAAUGAGUGGAAAAUUUGUUGGUUAGUACUUAAAUAGGAGACAUAAGUAGAAGUUACCCUCGUACCAUACCUUACUGCCUUAUCUUGUACACUCCACUUAGAAAUCAGUUGUCCAAGUCACAGGACCUGCAGUUAUAUAGUAGGAAUAACAUCCUUAGCAAACACUGGUUCAGAUUCUUUUAUUACUGGCAAAUAAUAAGGGCAUAGUAAGAUUUAUGAGGAAAUCAAAAGAAAUGUGACUGAGCUUAAAAUAGAAAAACCUGGAUUGGUCAGUAAUUUCAAAGAAAUACUAGAUUUAACGUUCAUUCUGCUAUUUACUACACAUGCAACUCUGGGAAAGUAGCAACCUUUUGGCAUAUGGUUUGCUGUGUGUGUGUGUGUGUGUGUGUGUGUGUGUGUGUGUGUGUGUGUGUGU
Molecule: non-coding RNA, 19387 nt
Organism: Rattus norvegicus (Norway rat)
Lineage: Eukaryota; Metazoa; Chordata; Mammalia; Rodentia; Muridae
Source: RefSeq, a predicted model, not a curated record